GACGAACGCUGGCGGCGUGCUUAACACAUGCAAGUCGAACGGAAAGGCCCUGCUUUUGUGGGGUGCUCGAGUGGCGAACGGGUGAGUAACACGUGAGUAACCUGCCCUUGACUUUGGGAUAACUUCAGGAAACUGGGGCUAAUACCGGAUAGGAGCUCCUGCUGCAUGGUGGGGGUUGGAAAGUUUCGGCGGUUGGGGAUGGAUUCGCGGCUUAUCAGCUUGUUGGUGGGGUAGUGGCUUACCAAGGCUUUGACGGGUAGCCGGCCUGAGAGGGUGACCGGCCACAUUGGGACUGAGAUACGGCACAGACUCCUACGGGAGGCAGGAGUGGGGAAUAUUGCACAAUGCGCGGAAGCCUGAUGGAGCAACGCCGCGUGCGGGAUGACGGCCUUCGGGUUGUAACCCGCUUUCGCCUGAGACGAAGCGUGAGUGACGGUAAUGGGUAAAGAAGCACCGGCUAACUACGU
This 467-nucleotide ribosomal RNA is filed under the name uncultured bacterium. RNAcentral describes it as "partial 16S ribosomal RNA". It matches the Rfam family "Bacterial small subunit ribosomal RNA", at positions 28 to 506 of the family's 1533-position model. The record is from RNAcentral.